RNAcentral lists this transfer RNA (71 nucleotides) under Actinomycetes bacterium. Its description in RNAcentral is "Actinobacteria bacterium tRNA-Cys". It matches the Rfam family "tRNA". From Rfam's summary of the family: Transfer RNA (tRNA) molecules are approximately 80 nucleotides in length. Their secondary structure includes four short double-helical elements and three loops (D, anti-codon, and T loops). Further hydrogen bonds mediate the characteristic L-shaped molecular structure. tRNAs have two regions of fundamental functional importance: the anti-codon, which is responsible for specific mRNA codon recognition, and the 3' end, to which the tRNAs corresponding amino acid is attached (by aminoacyl-tRNA synthetases). tRNAs cope with the degeneracy of the genetic code in two manners: having more than one tRNA (with a specific anti-codon) for a particular amino acid; and 'wobble' base-pairing, i.e. permitting non-standard base-pairing at the 3rd anti-codon position. RNAcentral also lists the same sequence under 1 other name. The record is from RNAcentral. Lineage: Bacteria; Bacillati; Actinomycetota; Actinomycetes.
GGCGCGGUGGCCGAGGAGUUAGGCAACGGUCUGCAAAACCGUGUACACCGGUGCAAGUCCGGUCCGCGCCU